GACGUACGCUGGCGGCGUGCCUAAUACAUGCAAGUAGAACGCACAGUUUAUACCGUAGCUUGCUACACCAUAGACUGUGAGUUGCGAACGGGUGAGUAACGCGUAGGUAACCUGCCUGGUAGCGGGGGAUAACUAUUGGAAACGAUAGCUAAUACCGCAUAAUAUUGAUUAUUGCAUGAUAAUUAAUUGAAAGGUGCAAUUGCACCACUACCAGAUGGACCUGCGUUGUAUUAGCUAGUAGGUGAGGUAACGGCUCACCUAGGCGACGAUACAUAGCCGACCUGAGAGGGUGAUCGGCCACACUGGGACUGAGACACGGCCCAGACUCCUACGGGAGGCAGCAGUAGGGAAUCUUCGGCAAUGGACGAAAGUCUGACCGAGCAACGCCGCGUGAGUGAAGAAGGUUUUCGGAUCGUAAAGCUCUGUUGUAAGAGAAGAACGGGUGUGAGAGUGGAAAGUUCACACUGUGACGGUAUCUUACCAGAAAGGGACGGCUAACUACGUG
This 505-nucleotide ribosomal RNA is filed under the name uncultured bacterium. RNAcentral's name for it is "partial 16S ribosomal RNA". It matches the Rfam family "Bacterial small subunit ribosomal RNA", at positions 28 to 507 of the family's 1533-position model. The record is from RNAcentral.